RNAcentral lists this ribosomal RNA (450 nucleotides) under uncultured bacterium. RNAcentral describes it as "partial 16S ribosomal RNA". It matches the Rfam family "Bacterial small subunit ribosomal RNA", at positions 338 to 795 of the family's 1533-position model. The record is from RNAcentral.
CCUACGGGUGGCUGCAGUAAGGAAUAUUGGUCAAUGGACGGAAGUCUGAACCAGCCAUCCCGCGUGCAGGAAGAAGGUCCUAUGGAUUGUAAACUGCUUUUAGCAGAGACGAAACGCCUUCAUUUAUGGGGGUUUGACGGUAUCUGCGGAAUAAGCACCGGCUAACUCCGUGCCAGCAGCCGCGGUAAUACGGAGGGUGCCAGAAUUAUUCGGAAUCACUGGUGUGAAGGGGUGCGUAGGAGGGGGUGUAGAAAGCCUGUAGCUUAUCUACAGAAUUGCCAUUGAUACUGAUUUUCUUGAAUUGGGUUGAGGUUAGCGGAAUGUGACAUGUAACGGUGAAAUGUUUAGAUAUGUCAUGGAACACCGAUUGCGAAGGCAGCUAGCUGGGCCUUGAUUGACGCUGAGGCACGAAAGCGUGGGUAGCGAACAGGAUUAGAUACCCUGGUAGUC